GAUGGUUUGUUUCUGCUUUGAUCGAUGCUGGUGGUGAUGUGAAUUUUAGGGAUCUAUCAAAUGGGAAAAUUUUGUUGUUUGCAGGCUGCACAAUCGUUGAAUCCCUAAUAUUAACAUUUUUGGGAGUAUGGGAUGAACCAGUUGACCGUGGGGGUUAUUAUAAGUGUGAUGUUUCAAAUUUGAACUUCCUAUUCUAGUUAAUAUCCAAUUUUACUUGUAUUCGUUAAAUUUAUUAGACAUGAAGGUAUGUUAAUUGUGUAUUUGUUGUUGAUAUUAGAAAUGGAACAUUUGCGUAAAUUCAAGGGCACUUGAAAGGUUUCCAGGGUAAGAAACACUUGGAGGAUUUCUGUUAGUUCUCUUCGCAACCUAGUUUUGCUGAAAUCAAACAAAAGCUCCUUGACAUUUUUUCCGUACCUGCGUACAUGGCACGAGAAAAUGGGGUGCAUAUGGAUGAACUGGCGGAACACCUUAAAGUUCAAG
Long non-coding RNA from Papaver somniferum (opium poppy), 480 nucleotides. RefSeq lists it as uncharacterized. NCBI's taxonomy places the organism in Eukaryota, Viridiplantae, Streptophyta, Magnoliopsida, Ranunculales, Papaveraceae. The record is from RefSeq and is a predicted model, not a curated record. The transcript has 4 exons.